This 467-nucleotide ribosomal RNA is filed under the name uncultured bacterium. RNAcentral's name for it is "bacterial SSU rRNA". It matches the Rfam family "Bacterial small subunit ribosomal RNA", at positions 29 to 507 of the family's 1533-position model. The record is from RNAcentral.
AUUGAACGCUGGCGGCAUGCUUUACACAUGCAAGUCGAACGGCAGCACAGGGAGCUUGGCUCCCGGGUGGCGAGUGGCGCACGGGUGAGUAAUACAUCGGAACGUGUCCUGUUGUGGGGGAUAACUGCUCGAAAGGGUGGCUAAUACCGCAUGAGACCUGAGGGUGAAAGCGGGGGAUCGCAAGACCUCGCGCAAUUGGAGCGGCCGAUGCCCGAUUAGCUAGUUGGUGAGGUUAACGGGCCCCACCAAGGCGACGAUCGGUANCCGGACUGAGAGGUUGAACGGUCACAUUGGGACUGAGACACGGCCCAGACUCCUACGGGAGGCAGCAGUGGGGAAUAUUGCACAAUGGGGGAAACCCUGAUGCAGCGACGCCGCGUGGAGGAAGAAGGUCUUCGGAUUGUAAACUCCUGUUGUUGAGGAAGAUAAUGACGGUACUCAACAAGGAAGUGACGGCUAACUACGUG